GGAUUAGAUACCCUGGUAGUCCACGCCGUAAACGAUGUCUACUUGCAGCUCGGUUCGUAAGAACGGUUUUGCGAAGCUAACGCGUUAAGUAGACCGCCUGGGGAGUACGGUCGCAAGAUUAAAACUCAAAGGAAUUGACGGGGACCCGCACAAGCGGUGGAGCAUGUUCUUUAAUUCGAAGCAACGCGAAGAACCUUACCCACACUUGACAUCCUCCUUAGGACUUACAGAGAUGUUUGUCUUCGGUUCGGCCGGGGGAGUGACAGGUGCUGCAUGGCUGUCGUCAGCUCGUGCCG
Molecule: ribosomal RNA, 296 nt
Filed under: uncultured bacterium
Lineage: Bacteria
Description: partial 16S ribosomal RNA
Rfam family: Bacterial small subunit ribosomal RNA
Source: RNAcentral